AACUCCUGCUCCAAAGAAGCCAGCAGCUGUAGUUGCUAAAAAGAGCAGCAGCUCUGAAGACUCCAGCGACUCGGAGGCCGAAGCUCAGGCUAAAACAGCAGCAAAGAAGCCUGCAGCUGUGAAACCUGCAGCAGCAGCCAGGAAGAAAGACACCAGUUCCAGCAGCGAGGAGUCCGACUCUGACGAGGAGCCGGCCAAAACUCCAGCUAGAGGAGCAAAGGCCAAGCCUGUGGCAGGGACCCCCAAACCAGCGUCCACUCCAGUGUCUGCAGCUCAGAAGAAACAGGACAGUAGCAGCAGCGAGGACAGCUCUAGUGAAUCUGAGGAUGAGGCUCCAG
Long non-coding RNA from Sinocyclocheilus rhinocerous, 338 nucleotides. RefSeq lists it as uncharacterized. The transcript has 3 exons. The record is from RefSeq and is a predicted model, not a curated record. Lineage: Eukaryota; Metazoa; Chordata; Actinopteri; Cypriniformes; Cyprinidae.